This 798-nucleotide ribosomal RNA is filed under the name uncultured bacterium. Its description in RNAcentral is "bacterial SSU rRNA". It matches the Rfam family "Bacterial small subunit ribosomal RNA", at positions 66 to 860 of the family's 1533-position model. The record is from RNAcentral.
ACGGCAGCACGGGAGCAAUCCUGGUGGCGAGUGGCGAACGGGUGAGUAAUGUAUCGGAACGUACCUUUCAGUGGGGGAUAACGUAGCGAAAGUUACGCUAAUACCGCAUAUUCUGUGAGCAGGAAAGCAGGGGAUCGCAAGACCUUGCGCUGAUUGAGCGGCCGAUAUCAGAUUAGCUAGUUGGUGAGGUAAAGGCUCACCAAGGCGACGAUCUGUAGCGGGUCUGAGAGGAUGAUCCGCCACACUGGAACUGAGACACGGUCCAGACUCCUACGGGAGGCAGCAGUGGGGAAUUUUGGACAAUGGGGGCAACCCUGAUCCAGCCAUGCCGCGUGAGUGAAGAAGGCCUUCGGGUUGUAAAGCUCUUUCAGCCGGGAAGAAAUCACAUGGGUUAAUACCCUGUGUGGAUGACGGUACCGGAAUAAGAAGCACCGGCUAACUACGUGCCAGCAGCCGCGGUAAUACGUAGGGUGCGAGCGUUAAUCGGAAUUACUGGGCGUAAAGCGUGCGCAGGCGGUUUGUUAAGAUAGGCGUGAAAUCCCCGGGCUCAACCUGGGAAUUGCGAUGGAGACUGCAAGGCUAGAGUUUGGCAGAGGGGGGUGGAAUUCCACGUGUAGCAGUGAAAUGCGUAGAGAUGUGGAGGAACACCGAUGGCGAAGGCAGCCCCCUGGGCCAAUACUGACGCUCAUGCACGAAAGCGUGGGUAGCAAACAGGAUUAGAUACCCUGGUAGUCCACGCCCUAAACGAUGUCUACUAGUUGUCGGGUCUUAAUUGACUUGGUAACGCAGCUAACGCGU